UAGAUACCCGGGUAGUCCACACUGUAGACGAUGAUUACUAGGUGUGGGGGGUCUGACCCCUUCCGUGCCGGAGUUAACACAAUAAGUAAUCCACCUGGGGAGUACGGCCGCAAGGUUGAAACUCAAAGGAAUUGACGGGGGCCCGCACAAGCAGUGGAGUAUGUGGUUUAAUUCGAAGCAACGCGAAGAACCUUACCAGGUCUUGACAUCCCUUGCAUAUCCUAGAGAUAGGAGAAGUCCUUCGGGACAAGGAGACAGGUGGUGCAUGGCCGCCGUCAG
Molecule: ribosomal RNA, 279 nt
Filed under: uncultured bacterium
Lineage: Bacteria
Description: partial 16S ribosomal RNA
Rfam family: Bacterial small subunit ribosomal RNA
Source: RNAcentral